Cryptotermes secundus is the source of this 678-nucleotide long non-coding RNA. RefSeq lists it as uncharacterized. Lineage: Eukaryota; Metazoa; Arthropoda; Insecta; Blattodea; Kalotermitidae. The record is from RefSeq and is a predicted model, not a curated record. The transcript is spliced from 3 exons.
AGGUCCAACCGGAAGAGGUAGAAGGCAGUGGGGACAUAAAUAGUGGGAUUUCAAAGUUUGAGUAGUGUAGCACUUAAUUUUAAAACGUUUAUUUUUUCUUUCGAGAAUUAACGAGUGUCAUUAUUAUUUGUGCGAUAUUUAUAUUGUUGGUAGUAUUUUUGUGUGUUAAUAUGAACACAAAUGUGUUGAAAAAAGACACGAGAGAAGGUUGAACAUCAUGAGAUGGAGAAAAAAUAUAGUUAGCUAUUGGACGAGGAAGAUGUGUUGGAUGCAUCUGAGAAGUCUAAAGCUGGGGGUACUGCAACAACAGAAAAGAAGUUGACUUCUGUUCCAGAACCUAUGAAGAAGGAAACUUCAUUACCACCGGAUCAACCUCCUGGUGUUACGAUUGCACCUCCAGUCAAUGCAGUAAAGGCAGAAAAGGAUGAAGAAGUGGAACCAGAUUCAGAGCAGGAUGACCCAACUGGAAUCAACUGAAAUUUUGUAAUAAUAGUUAUGGGAAUCCAUGUUCCCUGACAUGAGUAAUCUCCUGAGAAGAAACAGCGAAGGUCGACAUUGUGCUUGUCAAGGUGAACACUAUGCAUAUAUGUUGCCACUGUACAUCCUCCUGACUGCUCCUGACUAAUGCUCCCAUCUGUACAUUACAAACUGUUCCAUAUGCUUACAUUUCUUCAACGA